AGGGAAUCUUCCACAAUGGACGCAAGUCUGAUGGAGCAACGCCGCGUGAGUGAAGAAGGCUUUCGGGUCGUAAAACUCUGUUAUUGAAGAAGAACGUGUGUGACAGUAACUGGUCAUGCAGUGACGGUAUUCAAUUAGAAAGUCACGGCUAACUACGUGCCAGCAGCCGCGGUAAUACGUAGGUGGCAAGCGUUGUCCGGAUUUAUUGGGCGUAAAGCGAGUGCAGGCGGUCUUUUAAGUCUGAUGUGAAAGCCUUCGGCUUAACCGAAGAAGGGCAUCGGAAACUGGGAGACUUGAGUGCAGAAGAGGGGAGUGGAACUCCAUGUGUAGCGGUGAAAUGCGUAGAUAUAUGGAAGAACACCAGUGGCGAAGGCGGCUCUCUGGUCUGUAACUGACGCUGAGGCUCGAAAGCGUGGGUAGCAAACAGGAUUAGAUACCCUGGUAGUCCACGCCGUAAAACGAUGAAUACUAAGUGUUGGAGGGUUUCCGCCCUUCAGUGCUGCAGCUAACGCAUUAAGUAUUCCGCCUGGGGAGUACGACCGC
This 543-nucleotide ribosomal RNA is filed under the name uncultured bacterium. RNAcentral describes it as "partial 16S ribosomal RNA". It matches the Rfam family "Bacterial small subunit ribosomal RNA", at positions 356 to 889 of the family's 1533-position model. The record is from RNAcentral.